UUGCCAGACUCCUACGGGAGGCAGCAGUGGGGAAUAUUGCACAAUGGGGGAAACCCUGAUGCAGCAACGCCGCGUGAGUGAAGAAGUAUUUCGGUAUGUAAAGCUCUAUCAGCAGGGAAGAAGAUGACGGUACCUGAAUAAGAAGCCCCGGCUAACUACGUGCCAGCAGCCGCGGUAAUACGUAGGGGGCAAGCGUUAUCCGGAUUUACUGGGUGUAAAGGGAGCGCAGACGGCAGUGCAAGUCUGGAGUGAAAGCCCGGGGCCCAACCCCGGAACUGCUCUGGAAACUGUGCGGCUAGAGUACUGGAGGGGCAGGCGGAAUUCCUAGUGUAGCGGUGAAAUGCGUAGAUAUUAGGAGGAACACCAGUGGCGAAGGCGGCUUACUGGACUGUAACUGACGUUGAGGCUCGAAAGCGUGGGGAGCAAACAGGAUUAGAUACCCGCGUA
RNAcentral lists this ribosomal RNA (447 nucleotides) under uncultured bacterium. RNAcentral describes it as "bacterial SSU rRNA". It matches the Rfam family "Bacterial small subunit ribosomal RNA", at positions 328 to 792 of the family's 1533-position model. The record is from RNAcentral.